UACGAAGGGGGCUAGCGUUGCUCGGAAUCACUGGGCGUAAAGCGCACGUAGGCGGCUUUUUAAGUCAGGGGUGAAAUCCUGGAGCUCAACUCCAGAACUGCCUUUGAUACUGAGAAGCUUGAGUCCGGGAGCGGUGAGUGGAACUGCGAGUGUAGAGGUGAAAUUCGUAGAUAUUCGCAAGAACACCAGUGGCGAAGGCGGCUCACUGGCCCGGUACUGACGCUGAGGUGCGAAAGCGUGGGGAGCAAACAGG
This 253-nucleotide ribosomal RNA is filed under the name uncultured bacterium. Its description in RNAcentral is "partial 16S ribosomal RNA". It matches the Rfam family "Bacterial small subunit ribosomal RNA", at positions 524 to 776 of the family's 1533-position model. The record is from RNAcentral.